Molecule: ribosomal RNA, 497 nt
Filed under: uncultured bacterium
Lineage: Bacteria
Description: partial 16S ribosomal RNA
Rfam family: Bacterial small subunit ribosomal RNA
Source: RNAcentral
GAUGAACGCUGGCGGCGUGCCUAAUACAUGCAAGUCGAGCGAACAGACGAGGAGCUUGCUCCUCUGACGUUAGCGGCGGACGGGUGAGUAACACGUGGAUAACCUACUUCUAAGACUGGGAUAACUUCGGGAAACCGGAGCUAAUACCGGAUAAUAUAUUGAACCGCAUGGUUCAAUAGUGAAAGACGGUUUUGCUGUCACUUAUAGAUGGAUCCGCGCCGCAUUAGCUAGUUGGUAAGGUAACGGCUUACCAAGGCAACGAUGCGUAGCCGACCUGAGAGGGUGAUCGGCCACACUGGAACUGAGACACGGUCCAGACUCCUACGGGAGGCAGCAGUAGGGAAUCUUCCGCAAUGGGCGAAAGCCUGACGGAGCAACGCCGCGUGAGUGAUGAAGGUCUUCGGAUCGUAAAACUCUGUUAUUAGGGAAGAACAAAUGUGUAAGUAACUAUGCACGUCUUGACGGUACCUAAUCAGAAAGCCACGGCUAACUACGUG